ACAUAGAUUUAAAUUUUACAUGGUGGGUCAUGCCUUUAAGCACUCUACAUUGUGAGUUUCAGGACAGAGAGCUCUUGUCUCCAUCAAAAAACAGAUUUAAGUAUUCUUUAAGGAAGUUCUUUUGUGGGCAAAGAAGAGGGUGGAAAUGGCAAUAGUAUUGCAAUAUGUUGGUUGCAUGGUAGGUUCACAUAUCAGAGGUUUUGUGUUUGCUUACUUUUUUGAGGGUCUUACUAAGGUCUAACUAACGCACUAGUUGACCUCAAACUGGCUUGCCUUGCCUCAGCCUUCCAAAUGCUGAAAUACAGAACUAUACCACUGUGCCUCGCUCACACACCAGGUUUGCUGCUGUUGUUGUUAGGUAUUAUUUUACUAUGUGAGCUUGUGCAUCAGAAAGUGUCAGAUCCCCUUGAACAGAUAGUUGUAAACUUCCAUGUGGGUGCUGGAAAUAGAACUUGGGUUAUUUGGAAGAGCAACAAAUACUUUCAAUUGCUGAAUUAUCUCUCCACCAUACAAUUUGUCAGUUUUGUUAAUUGUUUUGUUUUGUUUAUUGUGAUGCUUCACUCAUACACAAUGCAUGUGUAUUUUUGUUGUAUAAGUUAGAAAUUCUAGAACUUGAGUCUUCCUUGGUGGCUCAUGCCUGUAAUGGCCACAACUUAGGAGGCUAAAGCAAAAGAAAUCGUGGGUUCAAACUUUUUUUGGGCUAUUACACAUAGCAAGUCCCUGUUUCUGAGAGAGACAGACUGACAGAAACAGUCGGAUGGGAAGCAAAGGAAAGGAAAAAAAAA
Molecule: long non-coding RNA, 785 nt
Filed under: Rattus norvegicus (Norway rat)
Lineage: Eukaryota; Metazoa; Chordata; Mammalia; Rodentia; Muridae
Description: long non-coding RNA NONRATT018359
Source: RNAcentral